CCUACGGGUGGCAGCAGUGAGGAAUAUUGGUCAAUGGGCGGAAGCCUGAACCAGCCAAGUCGCGUGAGGGAUUAAGGCCCUGCGGGUCGUAAACCUCUUUUGCAGGGGAGCAGAGGUCCGGACGUGUACGGGCCGGGAGAGUACCCGGAGAAAAAGCAUCGGCUAACUCCGUGCCAGCAGCAGCGGUAAAACGGGGGUUGGGAGCGUUAUCCGGAUUGAUUGGGUUGAAAGGGUGCGUAGGCGGGGUAUUAAGCCGGCGGUCAAAUGUCGGGGCUCAAACCCGGCCUGCCGUUGUAACUGGGUGCCUUGAGUGUGCGAGAAGUAUGCGGAAUGCGUGGUGUAGCGGUGAAAUGCAUAGAUAUCACGCAGAACCCCGAUUGCGAAGGCAGCAUACCGGCGCCCUACUGACGCUGAGGCACGAAAGUGCGGGGAUCGAACAGGAUUAGAUACCCGUGUAGUC
RNAcentral lists this ribosomal RNA (460 nucleotides) under uncultured bacterium. RNAcentral's name for it is "partial 16S ribosomal RNA". It matches the Rfam family "Bacterial small subunit ribosomal RNA", at positions 338 to 795 of the family's 1533-position model. The record is from RNAcentral.